AUGUCCGAGUCCGACGGCACCGCCCCGGAGAAGGUUAGGGGGAUGGACUGGAGCAGGAGGCCCGGCGAUCCGGCCGACCCGGUCGUGGACGCGGAGGGGUUCGCGGGUAUGGCGGGGCUGGGGCUCGACAGCAACUUCGUCGUCGUCCACGGCGCAGGUAUAUAUAGCUCGGAAUCUGUGUUGCCUCUGGGCACUGGCUCUCUGUCUUACGCUUGCUGA
RNAcentral lists this ribosomal RNA (219 nucleotides) under Triticum aestivum (bread wheat). Its description in RNAcentral is "partial small subunit ribosomal RNA". Lineage: Eukaryota; Viridiplantae; Streptophyta; Magnoliopsida; Poales; Poaceae. The record is from RNAcentral.